GGAUCCAGACUUUGAUCCUGGCUCAGGAUGAACGCUAGCUACAGGCUUAACACAUGCAAGUCGAGGGGCAGCGGGAUUGAAGCUUGCUUCAAUUGCCGGCGACCGGCGCACGGGUGAGUAACGCGUAUCCAACCUUCCGUACACUCAGGGAUAGCCUUUCGAAAGAAAGAUUAAUACCUGAUGGUAUGAUGAGAUUGCAUGAUAGCAUCAUUAAAGAUUUAUCGGUGUACGAUGGGGAUGCGUUCCAUUAGGUAGUAGGCGGGGUAACGGCCCACCUAGCCAACGAUGGAUAGGGGUUCUGAGAGGAAGGUCCCCCACAUUGGAACUGAGACACGGUCCAAACUCCUACGGGAGGCAGCAGUGAGGAAUAUUGGUCAAUGGACGAGAGUCUGAACCAGCCAAGUAGCGUGAAGGAUGAAGGUCCUACGGAUUGUAAACUUCUUUUAUAAGGGAAUAAACCCUCCCACGUGUGGGAGCUUGUAUGUACCUUAUGAAUAAGCAUCGGCUAACUCCGUGCCAGCAGCCGCGGUAAUACGGAGGAUGCGAGCGUUAUCCGGAUUUAUUGGGUUUAAAGGGAGCGCAGACGGGUCGUUAAGUCAGCUGUGAAAGUUUGGGGCUCAACCUUAAAAUUGCAGUUGAUACUGGCGUCCUUGAGUGCGGUUGAGGUGUGCGGAAUUCGUGGUGUAGCGGUGAAAUGCUUAGAUAUCACGAAGAACUCCGAUUGCGAAGGCAGCACACUAAUCCGUAACUGACGUUCAUGCUCGAAAGUGUGGGUAUCAAACAGGAUUAGAUACCCUGGUAGUCCACACGGUAAACGAUGGAUACUCGCUGUUGGCGAUAUACUGUCAGCGGCUUAGCGAAAGCGUUAAGUAUCCCACCUGGGGAGUACGCCGGCAACGGUGCAACUCAAAGGAUUGACGG
Molecule: ribosomal RNA, 921 nt
Filed under: uncultured Bacillota bacterium
Lineage: Bacteria; Bacillati; Bacillota
Description: bacterial SSU rRNA
Rfam family: Bacterial small subunit ribosomal RNA
Source: RNAcentral